UACGAAGGGUGCAAGCGUUAAUCGGAAUUACUGGGCGUAAAGCGCGCGUAGGUGGUUUGUUAAGUUGGAUGUGAAAUCCCCGGGCUCAACCUGGGAACUGCAUUCAAAACUGACAAGCUAGAGUAUGGUAGAGGGUGGUGGAAUUUCCUGUGUAGCGGUGAAAUGCGUAGAUAUAGGAAGAACACCGAUGGCGAAGGCAGUCGACUGGUCCACUACUGACGCUCAUGCUCGAAAGCGUGGGGAUCAAACAGGAUUAGAAACCCUGGUAGU
RNAcentral lists this ribosomal RNA (270 nucleotides) under uncultured bacterium. RNAcentral describes it as "partial 16S ribosomal RNA". It matches the Rfam family "Bacterial small subunit ribosomal RNA", at positions 524 to 794 of the family's 1533-position model. The record is from RNAcentral.